Molecule: ribosomal RNA, 501 nt
Filed under: uncultured bacterium
Lineage: Bacteria
Description: partial 16S ribosomal RNA
Rfam family: Bacterial small subunit ribosomal RNA
Source: RNAcentral
AUUGAACGCUGGCGGCAGGCUUAACACAUGCAAGUCGAGCGGGGGAAGGUAGCUUGCUACCGGACCUAGCGGCGGACGGGUGAGUAAUGCAUAGGAAUCUGCCUAUUAGUGGGGGACAACAUCUCGAAAGGGAUGCUAAUACCGCAUACGUCCUACGGGAGAAAGCAGGGGAUCUUUGGACCUUGCGCUAAUAGAUGAGCCUAAGUCGGAUUAGCUAGUUGGUGGGGUAAAGGCCUACCAAGGCGACGAUCUGUAGCGGGUCUGAGAGGAUGACCCGCCACACUGGGACUGAAGAACGGCCCAGACUCCUACGGGCGGUAGCAGUGGGGAAUAUUGGACAAUGGGGGGAACCCUGAUCCAGCCAUGCCGCGUGUGUGAAGAAGGCCUUAUGGUUGUAAAGCACUUUAAGCGAGGAGGAGGCUACUUUAGUUAAUACCUAGAGAUAGUGGACGUUACUCGCAGAAUAAGCACCGGCUAACUCUGUGCCAGCAGCCGCAGUAA